Molecule: long non-coding RNA, 823 nt
Organism: Sebastes umbrosus (honeycomb rockfish)
Lineage: Eukaryota; Metazoa; Chordata; Actinopteri; Perciformes; Sebastidae
Exons: 3
Source: RefSeq, a predicted model, not a curated record
CACCCUCUUAUAUCGGCCUGUUCUCUACUGGGUGAAUAAUUGACCCGUUACCCGUUAACCGUUAACCGUUACCCGGUAACCGUUAACCGUUAGAGCGGCGGUUCCUCCCAGCAGCUCCAGCAGCAGCAGCCCGUUAAUCAGUUAGUUAGUUAGCAUGAUGCUAGUUGACAGCUAACGCCUCCCUCUAACCCUCCAGCCCUCCAGCUCCUCUAACAGCUGGACACAGAGAGGCUGCUGCUGCUGCUGGUGUGUUCGUUAACAGGAUACUGUGAUUCAACACAUUCAUAAUGCAGCUAGCAACUCUGCAGCUAGAGUUCAAGUGGGUUGUUGCAGUGAGGCUCCGUGUCUCCACCGAGGCUCCGUGAUGUUGCUCCCCGGGACUCUGACGCUUCUCUCGGUCUGUCUCCGCUCCCGGCCCGGGCCAUCCCAUUGGCUGCUGACGCGCACAUUCUACCUAGCAACGCUGUAGGGAAUUUUCUGAUUGGCUGCUGGAGGGAAUUUUCUGAUUGGCUGCCUGUGAGUUCGGUGAUGAGGCUGAGGAUGAGGGAUGAAGGGAGGGCAGGGUCGCGGGGGCAGCAGGUUUAGCAGGAAUCCCAGACGUCCCUCUCCCCAGCAACGCUUUCCAGCUCUUCCUGGGGGACCCUCAGGCGUUUCCCAGGCCAGACCAGAUAUAUAACUCUGGAAAAGGCGAGAGUCCAGCCCCUCUCCAGGAGUCUAGUUCCAGAACCAGAGCUAUGAGAGGUGAGCCCAACUAUAUCUAGUUGGUACCGCUCCACCUGCCGCUCCAGCUCCGUUUCCUUCCCCGCCAGAGAAGUGACGUUCC